CCAGAGGGUCGGGUGAUCGCGAUAUGGGUUGCCAUAUCGAGGAAAGUCCGGGCUCCACGAUAUCACGGUGCCGGGUAACGCCCGGCGGGGGCGACCCCAGGGAUAGUGCCACAGAGAGCAGACCGCCCGGCGCUUCGGCGAAGGGUAAGGGUGAAAGGGUGCGGUAAGAGCGCACCGGGGCGAUGGUAACACCGCCCGUCAUGGUAAACCCCACCGGGAGCAAGACCGAAUAGGGACGGCACGUCUUCAAUGGCAGGGGCUGAUAUCGCCCUCGCGCGUCCGGGUUGGUUGCUUGAGGGCGCGGGCAACCGCGUUCCCAGAUGAAUGAUCGCCGAUAACAGAACCCGGCUUACAGACCCUCUGGCAAU
RNAcentral lists this RNase P RNA (368 nucleotides) under Pacificimonas pallii. Its description in RNAcentral is "RNase P RNA component class A". It matches the Rfam family "Bacterial RNase P class A". From Rfam's summary of the family: Ribonuclease P (RNase P) is a ubiquitous endoribonuclease, found in archaea, bacteria and eukarya as well as chloroplasts and mitochondria. Its best characterised activity is the generation of mature 5'-ends of tRNAs by cleaving the 5'-leader elements of precursor-tRNAs. Cellular RNase Ps are ribonucleoproteins. Lineage: Bacteria; Pseudomonadati; Pseudomonadota; Alphaproteobacteria; Sphingomonadales; Sphingosinicellaceae. The record is from RNAcentral.